GCUCCCUUCAACUUUAACAUGGAGGUGCUUUCUUUGAUUUCUGCUAAAAAAAGUAAGUGCUUCCAUGUUUUAGUCGAAGU
Molecule: microRNA precursor, 80 nt
Organism: Ochotona princeps (American pika)
Lineage: Eukaryota; Metazoa; Chordata; Mammalia; Lagomorpha; Ochotonidae
Source: Ensembl